RNAcentral lists this ribosomal RNA (253 nucleotides) under uncultured bacterium. RNAcentral's name for it is "partial 16S ribosomal RNA". It matches the Rfam family "Bacterial small subunit ribosomal RNA", at positions 524 to 776 of the family's 1533-position model. The record is from RNAcentral.
UACAGAGGUCCCAAGCGUUGUUCGGAUUCACUGGGCGUAAAGGGUGCGUAGGUGGUGAGGUAAGUCGGAUGUGAAAUCUCCGAGCUCAACUCGGAAAUGGCAUUGGAAACUACCUUGCUAGAGGGUUGGAGGGGGGACUGGAAUACUUGGUGUAGCAGUGAAAUGCGUAGAUAUCAAGUGGAACACCAGUGGCGAAGGCGAGUCCCUGGACAACACCUGACACUGAGGCACGAAAGCUAGGGGAGCAAACAGG